AGAGUUUGAUUCUGGCUCAGGAUGAACGCUAGCUACAGGCUUAACACAUGCAAGUCGAGGGGCAGCAUGGUCUUAGCUUGCUAAGGCCGAUGGCGACCGGCGCACGGGUGAGUAACGCGUAUCCAACCUGCCUUACACUCUUGGACAGCCUUCUGAAAGGGAGAUUAAUACAAGAUGUUAUCAUGAGUAAGCAUUUUCACAUGAUUAAAGGUUUACCGGUGUAAGAUGGGGAUGCGUUCCAUUAGAUAGUAGGCGGGGUAACGGCCCACCUAGUCUUCGAUGGAUAGGGGUUCUGAGAGGAAGGUCCCCCACAUUGGAACUGAGACACGGUCCAAACUCCUACGGGAGGCAGCAGUGAGGAAUAUUGGUCAAUGGACGAGAGUCUGAACCAGCCAAGUAGCGUGAAGGAUGAAGGUUCUAUGGAUUGUAAACUUCUUUUAUACGGGAAUAAACGAAUCCACGCGUGGAUUUUUGCAUGUACCGUAUGAAUAAGGAUCGGCUAACUCCGUGCCAGCAGCCGCGGUAAUACGGAGGAUCCGAGCGUUAUCCGGAUUUAUUGGGUUUAAAGGGAGCGUAGAUGGGUUGUUAAGUCAGUUGUGAAAGUUUGCGGCUCAACCGUAAAAUUGCAAUUGAUACUGGCAGUCUUGAGUACAGUUGAGGUAGGCGGAAUUCGUGGUGUAGCGGUGAAAUGCUUAGAUAUCACGAAGAACUCCGAUUGCGAAGGCAGCUUACUAACCUGUAACUGACAUUGAUGCUCGAAAGUGUGGGUAUCAAACAGGAUUAGAUACCCUGGUAGUCCACACGGUAAACGAUGAA
RNAcentral lists this ribosomal RNA (816 nucleotides) under uncultured bacterium. Its description in RNAcentral is "bacterial SSU rRNA". It matches the Rfam family "Bacterial small subunit ribosomal RNA", at positions 8 to 813 of the family's 1533-position model. The record is from RNAcentral.